Molecule: RNA transcript, 1493 nt
Organism: Triticum dicoccoides
Lineage: Eukaryota; Viridiplantae; Streptophyta; Magnoliopsida; Poales; Poaceae
Exons: 6
Source: RefSeq, a predicted model, not a curated record
UCCGUGUGCUCUUGCCUGCGCUUUUCCUUCUCUAAUCAGCUGUGCGGUUUCUCCGAUGAUGGUUACUUCCGCUGCUGCUCGGUCCGGCUGCCGUCGUCGGGGCCGCUCUCCUGGUAUUCGAGCCGCUGUUAUUGCCCGUGUCCGCCGUGCUGCUGGCCGUCUUUCUUCGCCGGAUUUUCCGUCGCCGGCAAACGCUGGUGCGCGUGGCCGGCUGGCUGAUUCGGGAUGCCGUGUCCGGUCCGGGGCUCACCGGCCGUUUCGUUCUUCCCGGACUGGUGUGCACCGAUUAGAUUCGCGGCGAGAUGUUAAUGUGGACGUUAAUAGUCGCCGUCGGGAGAUAUCAUUAGGGAAGCGGCCUGUGGAUUGUACCAUUGACACUUCGCCUGUCGAAGUGGUUGACGGAUCGAGUAUUUGUGUUUCUGGUUUUCCUGCUGGGGUUCAUCUUUAUGGCUCUUUGGUUGGUGCUACGACUUUCCGUUGCCGUCCAAGAGUGGUGCCCUUAUGUGCCGCCGGUACCUUUGGUCGGCCUACUUCUCUUGAGCACUCUCGUGUUGUGUGUGCUCGCCGUAAGCGGACUUUGGUGUGAUCGUACUGGUCGGGCCGGAAAAGAGUACGUGGGAUGCAACCUCCGUUUUCUAAAGAUUACAUCCAACUGCUUAAGGCUACUUUUAGGGGGCGUUCGUAUUAUGGUGGACCGGAUUUGCUGCCGGAAAUGUGGGGCUUUUUUUAUCCUGAAAUUGUCGCCGCCCUGAUAAAUAUGCCAAAUACACAUCACCGUUUGGUGGACACGUUCAGAAUUGCUCGAUAGAGUCUGCACCCCUGGUGUUUCUAAGGUGUCCAUUCGUUUUUUUGGUGAUGGCGGUGGUGCUCAUGGUACGCGUUUUUCUGGUCCUACUGCUUCUGAGGUUGCCACGCUCAUUGUUGGUGACUUGACGCCUGAAUGUAGAAAUUUUGAUGUGGUUGCAGAAACACGUCCUGGUUCAUUGAAGCAUGUAUCUUCACUGAAUUGCAAUCUUAUUGCUUUGCAAUAUCCUAUACUAUUUCCAUAUUGUGAUAAGAGUUAUCAUCGUGGUAUUAGAUAUGUUGAUGGUAAUGAACAUUUGAUUGUUUCCCAAUGCAACUGUGUUAGCUGUGGACACUUGGAUAGCGACAAUGUUGACCGUGAUUUGGAGGAUGGGGAUGUCACCCGUGGUCAAAUUACUAUGUUGGAGUACUACAAAUACUAUGCUCACUAUCGUGAAGGUGAAAUUAAUCCUUAUACAAGUUGCAGUUGUUUGAGCUAGCAGAUUGCCGUUAAUGCAUAUUCUUGUGUAGAGGCUGAUCGGUUGGAGUACCAUUUCCAUAAACAAGAUAAACUUCAUUCUGAAUCUUAUCGGGGCAUAUCUGAUGCAAUGGGUGUACAAUAAUAAGUGUUCUUGCAUGAAGAAUGAUUGUUGUUCCAAGUGCUUUCCAAAGCCAUUUAGUGAUGAUACAAUGGUUGAUCGUGUUGGCUA